GCGGGAGUGGCGGAAUUGGUAGACGCGCAAGAUUUAGGUUCUUGUAUCGCAAGGUGUGGGGGUUCGACUCCCCCCUUCCGCA
RNAcentral lists this transfer RNA (82 nucleotides) under Planctomycetota bacterium. Its description in RNAcentral is "tRNA-Leu". It matches the Rfam family "tRNA". From Rfam's summary of the family: Transfer RNA (tRNA) molecules are approximately 80 nucleotides in length. Their secondary structure includes four short double-helical elements and three loops (D, anti-codon, and T loops). Lineage: Bacteria; Pseudomonadati; Planctomycetota. The record is from RNAcentral.